GACGAACGCUGGCGGCGUGCUUAACACAUGCAAGUCGAACGGAAAGGCCCUGCUUGCAGGGUACUCGAGUGGCGAACGGGUGAGUAACACGUGGGUGAUCUGCCCUGCACUUCGGGAUAAGCCUGGGAAACUGGGUCUAAUACCGGAUAUGACCUUCCAUGUAGUGUGGGGGGUGGAAAGAUUUAUCGGUGUGGGAUGAGCCCGCGGCCUAUCAGCUUGUUGGUGGGGUAAUGGCCUACCAAGGCGUCGACGGGUAGCCGGCCUGAGAGGGUGGACGGCCACACUGGGACUGAGAUACGGCCCAGACUCCUACGGGAGGCAGCAGUGGGGAAUAUUGCACAAUGGGCGGAAGCCUUAUGCAGCGACGCCGCGUGGGGGAUGACGGCCUUCGGGUUGUAAACCUCUUUCGACAGGGACGAAGCUUCGGUGACGGUACCUGUAGAAGAAGCACCGGCUAACUACGUG
Molecule: ribosomal RNA, 465 nt
Filed under: uncultured bacterium
Lineage: Bacteria
Description: partial 16S ribosomal RNA
Rfam family: Bacterial small subunit ribosomal RNA
Source: RNAcentral